RNAcentral lists this ribosomal RNA (488 nucleotides) under uncultured bacterium. RNAcentral's name for it is "partial 16S ribosomal RNA". It matches the Rfam family "Bacterial small subunit ribosomal RNA", at positions 30 to 506 of the family's 1533-position model. The record is from RNAcentral.
AUUGAACGCUGGCGGCAGGCCUAACACAUGCAAGUCGAACGGUAACAGGAAGAAGCUUGCUUCUUUGCUGACGAGUGGCGGACGGGUGAGUAAUGUCUGGGAAACUGCCUGAUGGAGGGGGAUAACUACUGGAAACGGUAGCUAAUACCGCAUAACGUCGCAAGACCAAAAAGGGGGACCUUCGGGCCUCUUGCCAUCGGAUGUGCCCAGAUGGGAUUAGCUAGUAGGUGGGGUAACGGCUCACCUAGGCGACGAUCCCUAGCUGGUCUGAGAGGAUGACCAGCCACACUGGAACUGAGACACGGUCCAGACUCCUACGGGAGGCAGCAGUGGGAAUAUUGCACAAUGGGCGCAAGCCUGAUGCAGCCAUGCCGCGUGUAUGAAGAAGGCCUUCGGGUUGUAAAGUACUUUCAGCGGGGAGGAAGGGAGUAAAGUUAAUACCUUUGCUCAUUGACGUUACCCGCAGAAGAAGCACCGGCUAACUCCGU